UGGGGCUUAGUUCCAGGAAUAAUACUGUCACUCCAUCUAUUGGACAUUGCGAGCAUCCUCUGAGAAUUAAGUUGCAUCGGUUUUUCUUCUGUUAUAUGCUCCAGAUAUUGAUGCUCGUAGACGGAGAAAACAUAUGCAUAAGAAGCAUAGCUCAUGUUCUGCCAAAAUGUCAUAUGAAUGUUACUUGUCAUAUUUCCAUGAGCUUUUGUCUUUUGCACAUCCUAAAAUUUCUUUAUCAGUCCAUUGUAAUUGUCUGACUGUCGGUUCCAAAAGAAUACAGACUGCACAGGCUACAAUAUUUUUGUGGUGUUGUAUUACUUUGAUGUGUUGGACAUUUAUUCCUUGCAGAUCAAAAACAAUCCCUCGGACAAUAUGGAUGACGUGCACUCAAGUAAUGAUGAUCAUAACGUACCUGUUGUUUGCUUCUGCAAUUGAUGGUAUCCUUUACGCCGCAACAGCAUUACUUGGGAUCUGCUAUGGAGUUCAGUUCUCGAUAAUGAUACCGACUGUCUCUGAGCUUUUCGGCUUGAAGCAUUUU
RNAcentral lists this long non-coding RNA (538 nucleotides) under Populus trichocarpa (black cottonwood). Its description in RNAcentral is "long non-coding RNA (PTRI_LNC001689)". Lineage: Eukaryota; Viridiplantae; Streptophyta; Magnoliopsida; Malpighiales; Salicaceae. The record is from RNAcentral.